GAGGAAUCAGAUGUUCAGCAGCUGAAGGAUCUUGUAAAAACUUUAGAGUUCUGAUCUCUGUAAAGUAGAGAACGUCUCUGUGUCCUGCUGAUCCUCACAGGUUGAAGCUGCAGCAGUUUGAGUCUAAGAGACUCUGGAUCAAGAUGAUGACCUUUGACCUCAGAACAUUUUCUAUUUCAAAUAUUUUCCAGACGUCGAUUGUUGAAGAUUUUCAGUUUUAUUUUUCAUCUGAUCUGUUGAUGAUCUGCAGGAACAAAAGAGAGAAAAAUACUCUGAGUUUGUUAGAAAAGUUGAAUUGAGCAAAAACAUGAAGCAUAAAUUUCAUUAAAAAGCUUUAAAGAGUUUGUUAA
Poeciliopsis prolifica (blackstripe livebearer) is the source of this 350-nucleotide long non-coding RNA. RefSeq lists it as uncharacterized. The transcript has 2 exons. Lineage: Eukaryota; Metazoa; Chordata; Actinopteri; Cyprinodontiformes; Poeciliidae. The record is from RefSeq and is a predicted model, not a curated record.